AGGUAUUAUUUUUAUUUUUUCUAAUAACAUAAAUAAAUUAAAUUAUAUGUAUAUUAUGUUGUCAUUUUUAAUUUAUUUGUAUGGAGAUUGGGCCGGCAUCAGUUUUAUUACAAAAAGAAGGAAACUUGACUCGACUGCUGAGAAGGGGGAUACAAUUGUCCCACACCGGCCACAGCUCUGGUUAUUAGUCAUUUACAUAAAGAAACUGCGCAACGAGAAUUGUCCCUUCGGGACCUCCGUUCAAUUUUUUUCCAUGAAAUUGAAUGGAUUUUGAAGCAUUUUCCUUCUGUUUUUUUUUUUUUUUUUCCCACCCAGUUUGGGUCAAUUGGAAUGCAGAUUGAGGAUCUUUUGGUGUUGGGAAGUAUUUCACGCUUUGAUGGGUCCGUCUCACUGUCUGACUGUCUGAAUUUUCAUAUUCCAGGUAAAUAAUGAUGGUUCAGUUCAGUUAUCUGAUGCACUUUCACUCGAUGUGUAUACUUUUUGUGCAAGAAACUAUCUGAUUAUGAAAGGCUAGUUCAGAUUACCGUCUCAUCGCAAUAUCUGGCCCAAAAGCGUGCAGUGGCUCGCUCAAGAGGAUCUUCCGGCAGUAAGGGAUUCUCCUUCCAUGUUUCGUCGACAUAUUCAAGAAUUAUGAGUGACUCAACAACUGCAUUUCCAUUGUGCAGGAGCACUGGAAUUUUCUUAUGAAUAGGGUUAGACUGAAGAAGUAAAGGG
Molecule: long non-coding RNA, 714 nt
Organism: Malus domestica (apple)
Lineage: Eukaryota; Viridiplantae; Streptophyta; Magnoliopsida; Rosales; Rosaceae
Source: RefSeq, a predicted model, not a curated record